This 322-nucleotide ribosomal RNA is filed under the name uncultured eukaryote. Its description in RNAcentral is "partial 18S ribosomal RNA". It matches the Rfam family "Eukaryotic small subunit ribosomal RNA", at positions 1470 to 1796 of the family's 1831-position model. The record is from RNAcentral.
CCCUUAGAUGUUCUGGGCUGCACGCGCGCUACACUGAUACUUUCAGCGAGUCCACCACCUUGCCUGGGAAGGUGGGGUAACCUCUGGAAAGUGCAUCGUGAUGGGGAUCGAUUAUUGUAAUUAUUAAUCUUCAACGAGGAAUUCCUAGUAAGCAUGUGUCAUCAGCCCGUGCUGAUUACGUCCCUGCCCUUUGUACACACCGCCCGUCGCUCCUACCGAUUGAGUGGUCCGGUGAAAUCUCGGGACGGCGGCUUGGUCGCUUGCGUCCGACUGCUGAAACUUGAUUAAACCAUAUCAUUUAGAGGAAGGUGAAGUCGUAACA